GUUUUAAAUGAAAGGCCGGACACUUCUAUGUCACAAAUAUAUGGUGCCAUUCACCUGCUAAGGCUAUUCGGCUUGGCAGCAUGUUGGCUUAUACCCCGCUGGACGAGACGAGUGUCCAGCUUCUGCUACAUCAUAUUCACGAUUUUCUCAAGUACAUGGCUAGGAACUCGCAGCUGUUCAGCCUGAAUGACUACACAAUAGCACCUCCCGACUACCAACGGAAAGCCAUCUGAAAAAUGUAAAUCUGUGCUACAGAAAUAAAAUCUACAAUCACUUUGUCAAA
Rhipicephalus microplus (southern cattle tick) is the source of this 283-nucleotide long non-coding RNA. NCBI's taxonomy places the organism in Eukaryota, Metazoa, Arthropoda, Arachnida, Ixodida, Ixodidae. The record is from RefSeq and is a predicted model, not a curated record.